GACGUAGGGGCCGAGCGUUGUCCGGAGUUACUGGGCGUAAAGGGCGCGCAGGCGGUUGGUCACAUCGGCGGGGAAAGCCCCCCGCUCAACGGGGGAGGGUCCGUCGAGAUGGGCCGACUGGAGGCAGGGAGAGGGCGGUGGAAUUCCGGGUGUAGUGGUGAAAUGCGUAGAUAUGUGGAGGAACACCGAUGGCGAAGGCAGCCCCCUGGGUCAAGACUGACGCUCAUGCACGAAAGCGUGGGGAGCAAACAGG
RNAcentral lists this ribosomal RNA (253 nucleotides) under uncultured bacterium. RNAcentral's name for it is "partial 16S ribosomal RNA". It matches the Rfam family "Bacterial small subunit ribosomal RNA", at positions 524 to 776 of the family's 1533-position model. The record is from RNAcentral.